UACGGAGGAUCCGAGCGUUAUCCGGAUUUAUUGGGUUUAAAGGGGGCGUAGGCCGGCUUUUAAGUCAGCUGUGAAAGUCCGCGGCUCAACCGUGGAAUUGCAGUUGAAACUGGAGGCCUUGAGUGCACACAGGGAUGCCGGAAUUCAUGGUGUAGCGGUGAAAUGCUUAGAUAUCAUGAAGAACUCCGAUCGCGAAGGCAAGUGUCCGGGGUGCAACUGACGCUGAGGCUCGAAGGCGUGGGUAUCGAACAGG
This 253-nucleotide ribosomal RNA is filed under the name uncultured bacterium. RNAcentral describes it as "partial 16S ribosomal RNA". It matches the Rfam family "Bacterial small subunit ribosomal RNA", at positions 524 to 776 of the family's 1533-position model. The record is from RNAcentral.